UACGUAGGCAGCAAGCGUUGUUCGGAGUUACUGGGCGUAAAGAGUCUGUAGGCGGUGCUCUAAGUUUGGUGUGAAAUCUCCCGGCUUAACCGGGAGGGUGCGCCGAAGACUGGGGUGCUGGAGUCUGGGAGAGGAAAGCGGAAUUCCUGGUGUAGCGGUGAAAUGCGUAGAUAUCGUAAGGAAGACCAGUGGCGAAGGCGGGUCUCUGGACAGUUCCUGACGCGUGAGGGCACGAAGGUCAGGGAGCAAACGGG
Molecule: ribosomal RNA, 254 nt
Filed under: uncultured bacterium
Lineage: Bacteria
Description: partial 16S ribosomal RNA
Rfam family: Bacterial small subunit ribosomal RNA
Source: RNAcentral